Molecule: ribosomal RNA, 483 nt
Filed under: uncultured bacterium
Lineage: Bacteria
Description: partial 16S ribosomal RNA
Rfam family: Bacterial small subunit ribosomal RNA
Source: RNAcentral
AUUGAACGCUGGCGGCAGGCCUAACACAUGCAAGUCGAGCGGAUGAAGGGAGCUUGCUCCUGGAUUCAGCGGCGGACGGGUGAGUAAUGCCUAGGAAUCUGCCUGGUAGUGGGGGAUAACGUCCGGAAACGGGCGCUAAUACGGCAUACGUCCUGAGGGAGAAAGUGGGGGAUCUUCGGACCUCACGCUAUCAGAUGAGCCUAGGUCGGAUUAGCUAGUUGGUGGGGUAAAGGCCUACCAAGGCGACGAUCCGUAACUGGUCUGAGAGGAUGAUCAGUCACACUGGAACUGAGACACGGUCCAGACUCCUACGGGAGGCAGCAGUGGGGAAUAUUGGACAAUGGGCGAAAGCCUGAUCCAGCCAUGCCGCGUGUGUGAAGAAGGUCUUCGGAUUGUAAAGCACUUUAAGUUGGGAGGAAGGGCAGUAAGUUAAUACCUCGCUGUUUUGACGUUACCAAAAGAAUAAGCACCGGCUAACUUCGU